Molecule: long non-coding RNA, 209 nt
Filed under: Manihot esculenta (cassava)
Lineage: Eukaryota; Viridiplantae; Streptophyta; Magnoliopsida; Malpighiales; Euphorbiaceae
Description: long non-coding RNA (MESC_LNC004869)
Source: RNAcentral
UAUGCUAGAGAUUGUUUUCUUCAGGCGGGUUGUAUUUUUACGGAUAACCAAUCCUUAGCCUUGGCUAUUCGCUCUCCUCUGGAUGACUUUUCAGAGUUUGGAUUAGUUGUUUCUGAUUGCAAAGAUGUUAUGCGGUCUCAGGGUAACAUUCAUGUUUGUUGGGUACGGCGUUCAGAAAAUAGAGUCGCCCAUUUAUUAGCUAGAGAGUC